CUUUAAUUAAAAAUAAUAAUUCAAGAGAAACGAUUCCCUAAUUGCAUGUUGUUUAAAUUGCAAUAAAAACACAGAGGUUUAAUUUGUUUAUUUAAUAUUUUUAUCUAAAUUCACAUUUCGCCUUAAUUCAAUUCCCAUCUGGCCUUAGUAUAUUUUUUACCUUUUUUACCUGGAAUUUCCAGUUAAGGCGAAAUGAGAACACACC
RNAcentral lists this long non-coding RNA (205 nucleotides) under Mytilus galloprovincialis (Mediterranean mussel). The record is from RNAcentral. Lineage: Eukaryota; Metazoa; Mollusca; Bivalvia; Mytilida; Mytilidae.